Molecule: ribosomal RNA, 443 nt
Filed under: uncultured Methanolinea sp.
Lineage: Archaea; Methanobacteriati; Methanobacteriota; Methanomicrobia; Methanomicrobiales; Methanoregulaceae
Description: bacterial SSU rRNA
Rfam family: Archaeal small subunit ribosomal RNA
Source: RNAcentral
CGGUUUAAUCGGACUCAACGCCCGGAAAAUCUCACCGGAUAAGACAGCUGGAUGAUAGCCGGGCUGAAGACUCUGCUUGACUAGCUGAGAGGAGGUGCAUGGCCGUCGUCAGUUCGUACUGUGAAGCGUCCUGUUAAGUCAGGCAACGAGCGAGACCCACGCCAACAGUUGCCAGCAUGUCCUCCGGGAUGAUGGGGACACUGUUGGGACCGCCUCUGCUAAAGAGGAGGAAGGAAUGGGCAACGGUAGGUCAGCAUGCCCCGAAUUAUCCGGGCUACACGCGGGCUACAAUGGUCAGGACAAUGGGUAUCAACACCGAAAGGUGAAGGCAAUCUCCUAAACCUGUCCUUAGUUCGGAUUGUGGGCUGCAACUCGCCCACAUGAAGCUGGAAUCUGUAGUAAUCGCGUCUCAACAUGGCGCGGUGAACAUGUCCCUGCUCCUU